CCUACGGGAGGCAGCAGUGGGGAAUAUUGCGCAAUGGGCGAAAGCCUGACGCAGCGACGCCGCGUGAGGGAUGAAGGUCUUCGGAUCGUAAAGCUCUGUCAGCAGGGAAGAACGGUCACUGUGCUAAUCAGCAGUGACUUGACGGUACCUGCAAAGGAGGCACCGGCUAACUCCGUGCCAGCAGCCGCGGUAAUACGUAGGGUGCGAGCGUUAGUCGGAAUUACUGGGCGUACAGCGCUCGUAGGCGGUAUGUCAAGUCAAGGGUGAACUCCCCGGGCUCAACGUGGGAACUGCCUUUGAAACUGGCAAACUGGAGUGCGGGAGAGGAUAGUGGAAUUCCUGGUGUAGGAGUGAAAUGCGUAGAUAUUAGGAGGAACAUCAGUGGCGAAGGCGACUAUCUGGCACAUAACUGACGCUGAGGAGCGAAAGCGUGGGGAGCAAACAGGAUUAGAUACCCGGGUAGUC
RNAcentral lists this ribosomal RNA (465 nucleotides) under uncultured bacterium. Its description in RNAcentral is "partial 16S ribosomal RNA". It matches the Rfam family "Bacterial small subunit ribosomal RNA", at positions 338 to 795 of the family's 1533-position model. The record is from RNAcentral.